AGAGUUUGAUCCUGGCUCAGGAUGAACGUUGGCGGUGCGUCUAAUACAUGCAAGUCGAGCGUGAUUUUACGGAUUUAUUCGUGAAUGAAAGCGGCGGACGAGCGAGUAAUACACAAGUAUCUACCCCAUACUCAGGGAUAAUCCCCCGAAAGGGGGACUAAUACCGGAUAUUCCCGCAAGGGGAAAGCUUCGGCGGUAAGGGAGGAGCUUGUGGCCUAUCAGCUAGUUGGUGAGGUAAAUGCUUACCAAGGCUAUGACGGGUACCUGGUGUGAGAGCAUGACCAGGCGCGAUGGGACUGAGAUACGGCCCAUACUCCUACGGGAGGCAGCAGUAGAGAAUCUUCCGCAAUGGGCGAAAGCCUGACGGAGCGACACCGCGUGAAGGAUGAAGGCUCUCGGGUUGUAAACUUCUUUUCUGAGGGAAGAAAAUUG
RNAcentral lists this ribosomal RNA (432 nucleotides) under uncultured bacterium. RNAcentral's name for it is "bacterial SSU rRNA". It matches the Rfam family "Bacterial small subunit ribosomal RNA", at positions 8 to 454 of the family's 1533-position model. The record is from RNAcentral.